This 474-nucleotide RNase P RNA is filed under the name Holosporales bacterium. RNAcentral describes it as "RNase P RNA component class A". It matches the Rfam family "Bacterial RNase P class A". Rfam says of the family: Ribonuclease P (RNase P) is a ubiquitous endoribonuclease, found in archaea, bacteria and eukarya as well as chloroplasts and mitochondria. Its best characterised activity is the generation of mature 5'-ends of tRNAs by cleaving the 5'-leader elements of precursor-tRNAs. Cellular RNase Ps are ribonucleoproteins. Lineage: Bacteria; Pseudomonadati; Pseudomonadota; Alphaproteobacteria; Holosporales. The record is from RNAcentral.
GUGGGAUGCUGUGUAGCUGCUGUGGAGAAAUCCAUAGAGGAAAGUCCGGGCUCCAUGCAAACAUAGUGCCGGAUAACGUCCGGCGGGGCGAUCGUUAAGGGUUGUUCUAGGGAAAGUGCAACAGAAAAUAUACCGCUAGCAGGUUUUUCCUGUUAGUAAGGGUGAAAAGGGGCGGUAAGAGCGCACCGCAAUCGUGGUAACACGGUUGGCAUUGUAAACCCCACUAGGAGCAAGGCCGAAUAGGGAUCUAUUCCGAAAGGAUGGCGUGUUUGUCGCUUAGGGAUUCGGGUUGGCUGCUUGAGCUUAUUGGUGACAAUAAGCCUAGAUGAAUAGCUACAGAGGAAUAUACAUGUCACACCUGAAGCUCCGGAUGGGUUUUCUCGUUUCGCAAGGAGGAAAAUCGAAAGGGGCCGAAUUUUCAGGCGUGAAUUCAAUGUAUCCAGACAAAACCCGGCUUAUAGGCAUCUCACGCAA